UACGAAGGUGGCAAGCGUUACUCGGAAUUACUAGGCGUAAAGGGCAGGUAGGUGGUUUGAUAAGUCUGUUGUGUCAACUUCCGGCUUAACCGGAAGAGGUCAACAGAUACUGUCGAGCUUGAGUAUGGGAGAGGGUACUGGAAUUCCCGGUGUAGCGGUGAAAUGCGCAGAUAUCGGGAGGAACACCGAUGGCGAAAGCAGGUACCUGGACCAUUACUGACACUCAGCUGCGAAAGCUAGGGGAG
RNAcentral lists this ribosomal RNA (245 nucleotides) under uncultured bacterium. Its description in RNAcentral is "partial 16S ribosomal RNA". It matches the Rfam family "Bacterial small subunit ribosomal RNA", at positions 524 to 768 of the family's 1533-position model. The record is from RNAcentral.